RNAcentral lists this long non-coding RNA (2092 nucleotides) under Brassica napus (rape). RNAcentral's name for it is "long non-coding RNA (BNAP_LNC002056)". Lineage: Eukaryota; Viridiplantae; Streptophyta; Magnoliopsida; Brassicales; Brassicaceae. The record is from RNAcentral.
ACUCGUUAAUGGCACCAAAGAUCUCAUCAACUUUCCCAAUCUGUGUCUUGUUUUCCAGGUAGAUUGGGGCAUUGAAGUAAGGGAUCUUCGCCUGAGAGAGCUUGGUCACAGCAUCACCCUCACAAGCAUGGAGAAAGGUCGCAACUUCUGUUAUAACCAACAAAGUUAACCUUGUCAUAACGGAAUUAAAUAAUUUUCUUAAAAGCUGCUAUUUUUGGAAAGUUUUCAUUUUUUAGAGAAAUAUUGUAGAUUUGGGUUUGUGGUUUAGAAAUUAAGAUAACAAGAAUAUUUGUGGAUAUUUGAGUAUUUUUUUCAGAAUUAUUCAUCAAUAGGUUGUAUUUUUAAAUAAUUUUCUCAAAACCUGCUAUUUUUAGAAAGUUUUCAUUUUUUAGAGAAAUAUUGUAGAUUUGGGUUUGUGGUUUAGAAAUUAAGAUAACAAGAAUAUUUGUGGAUAUUUGAGUAUUCUUUCAGAAUUAUUCAUCAAUAGGUUGUAUUUUUAAAUAAUUUUCUCAAAACCUGCUAUUUUUAGAAAGUUUUCAUUUUUUAGAGAAAUAUUGUAGAUUUGGGUUUGUGGUUUAGAAAUUAAGACAACAAGAAUAUUUGUGGAUAUUUGAGUAUUCUUUCAGAAUUAUUCAUUAAUAGGUUGUAUUUUUAAAUAAUUUUCUCAAAACCUGCUAUUUUUAGAAAGUUUUCAAUUUUUAGAUAAAUAUUGUAGAUUUAGGAUAACACGAAUAUUUGUGGAUAGUUGAUUAUUCUUUCAGAGAUUUUCAUCAAUUGGUUAUAUUUUUAAAUAUUUUUUUAAAAAAAUUUCUGAAAUAAUACUCAACUGUCCACAUAUAUUACUGUUAUCACAGAGCUCAAUGAUUACUGGAAAUUAUCUACGUCAAAAUGUUUCAGUGCACUAACUUGUAUGCACCUAGUAUAAAUGUGUAGUAUUAGUGUAGUUAGUGGGUUUUGUGAGUGUCUGUCAUAGAAUUCGAAAAUUUUAUCAAAUUUUGUUUUUUUUGUUUUAUUUAGGCACAAAACGACAUUGUUUUGCACAAAUGAAUGCUUCCGAUUGUAAUAAAACAAGGAUCUCUAGUAACUGAUCAAAACAUUUUACUCACUUGAUAAACCACAAUAACAAAAACUAGAAUCUGGAAAACAAUCAUAUCAUUGUCAUGGUUUCUUAAAAGCAUUUUUCAUCAUCCAAGAUUAAAAGCAAAAAUUACAAGCCAAGGCUACAAUAGAUAGAUUAUUAGUAUCCUCCUCUCCCUCGGCCUCUGAAUCCUCCACGCCCCCUGGGAGCACCUCUUGAGGCGAAUCCUCCACGCCCCCUGGGAGCACCUCUGGAAGAGAAUCCUCCACGGCCCCUAGGAGCACCUCUGCCUCUCCCACGACUUCCCGUAGAUUGUCCCCUGCAACAAAAAAAACAGGCAAGACUCUUUGUUAAAGACUUGUACUAACACUUGAACAAGUAAAUUCUACUGCUUAACAGAAGCUAUCAUUUCCGCAAUGGGUUAAAAAGUGUGGCUUACUUUGGCUGUGGAAGGAAUCUCGCUAGAGGUAAUAGCUUAGCAGGGUCGAUGUAGAACUUAUCCCCUUCAGCGUAUGAGGUAGCUACAAUACCUUCCAUCAUCUUGAUGGAAAACAGCUGAAAAAAGGAACCAAUACUCUUAGUAUAAGUAAGCAAACUAAUGAUAGAAGAAAGCCACAUAGAGAGUGAACACAUACAGACUCGUUAAUGGCACCAAAGAUCUCAUCAACUUUCCCAAUCUGUGUCUUGUUUUCCAGGUAGAUUGGGGCAUUGAAGUAAGGGAUCUUCGCCUGAGAGAGCUUGGUCACAGCAUCACCCUCACAAGCAUGGAGAAAGGUCGCAACUUCUGUUAUAACCAACAAAGUUAACCUUGUCAUAACGGAGACAAGUCACAAAGUUUCUACCUUUUAACUUAAACACAAAGAUGAAUCUAACAAAAGGGCUAAGACAGUGAUUCAACUCAAAACAAAGGAACACUAAUAAGCAGGAAACAGUUCAUUCACAUUCAAAGCUGAGAACUUUAUCAAUAAAGUCUUAAGUUUUAUCGGUAAAACAACGAGCAGAGCAAGAAUAAGA